RNAcentral lists this small nuclear RNA (20 nucleotides) under Arabidopsis thaliana (thale cress). RNAcentral describes it as "snRNA_04153". Lineage: Eukaryota; Viridiplantae; Streptophyta; Magnoliopsida; Brassicales; Brassicaceae. The record is from RNAcentral.
CCUUCAGAGAAGUGAUCAAA